This 1303-nucleotide ribosomal RNA is filed under the name Ralstonia solanacearum. RNAcentral describes it as "bacterial SSU rRNA". It matches the Rfam family "Bacterial small subunit ribosomal RNA", at positions 68 to 1369 of the family's 1533-position model. Lineage: Bacteria; Pseudomonadati; Pseudomonadota; Betaproteobacteria; Burkholderiales; Burkholderiaceae. The record is from RNAcentral.
GGGACGGGGGUGCUUGCUACCUGCCGGCGAGUGGCGAACGGGUGAGUAAUACAUCGGAACGUGCCCUGUAGUGGGGGAUAACUAGUCGAAAGACUAGCUAAUACCGCAUACGACCUGAGGGUGAAAGUGGGGGACCGCAAGGCCUCAUGCUAUAGGAGCGGCCGAUGUCUGAUUAGCUAGUUGGUGGGGUAAGGGCCCACCAAGGCGACGAUCAGUAGCUGGUCUGAGAGGACGAUCAGCCACACUGGGACUGAGACACGGCCCAGACUCCUACGGGAGGCAGCAGUGGGGAAUUUUGGACAAUGGGGGCAACCCUGAUCCAGCAAUGCCGCGUGUGUGAAGAAGGCCUUCGGGUUGUAAAGCACUUUUGUCCGGAAAGAAAUCGCACUGGUUAAUACCUGGUGUGGAUGACGGUACCGGAAGAAUAAGGACCGGCUAACUACGUGCCAGCAGCCGCGGUAAUACGUAGGGUCCAAGCGUUAAUCGGAAUUACUGGGCGUAAAGCGUGCGCAGGCGGUUGUGCAAGACCGAUGUGAAAUCCCCGGGCUUAACCUGGGAAUUGCAUUGGUGACUGCACGGCUAGAGUGUGUCAGAGGGAGGUAGAAUUCCACGUGUAGCAGUGAAAUGCGUAGAGAUGUGGAGGAAUACCGAUGGCGAAGGCAGCCUCCUGGGAUAACACUGACGCUCAUGCACGAAAGCGUGGGGAGCAAACAGGAUUAGAUACCCUGGUAGUCCACGCCCUAAACGAUGUCAACUAGUUGUUGGGGAUUCAUUUCCUUAGUAACGUAGCUAACGCGUGAAGUUGACCGCCUGGGGAGUACGGUCGCAAGAUUAAAACUCAAAGGAAUUGACGGGGACCCGCACAAGCGGUGGAUGAUGUGGAUUAAUUCGAUGCAACGCGAAAAACCUUACCUACCCUUGACAUGCCACUAACGAAGCAGAGAUGCAUUAGGUGCUCGAAAGAGAAAGUGGACACAGGUGCUGCAUGGCUGUCGUCAGCUCGUGUCGUGAGAUGUUGGGUUAAGUCCCGCAACGAGCGCAACCCUUGUCUCUAGUUGCUACGAAAGGGCACUCUAGAGAGACUGCCGGUGACAAACCGGAGGAAGGUGGGGAUGACGUCAAGUCCUCAUGGCCCUUAUGGGUAGGGCUUCACACGUCAUACAAUGGUGCAUACAGAGGGUUGCCAAGCCGCGAGGUGGAGCUAAUCCCAGAAAAUGCAUCGUAGUCCGGAUCGUAGUCUGCAACUCGACUACGUGAAGCUGGAAUCGCUAGUAAUCGCGGAUCAGCAUGCCGCGUUGCCUCA